UAACUGAUUGUCGGCCAUUUGAAUCCAUGGUAAUAACUAUGCUCAGUCUGUAUGUGUCUGUCCCAAAUCUGGAGCCUAUCAUUCAGUGGUUGUCAUUGGUUGCUGUACAUCAUAUUUGUUUUUAGUUUUUUUUGUGUACAUAAAUGAGGCUGAUAGUGGCCUUGUUUGAAUUGUUUCACAUUUUUCAUUUUGGAGCCUUUUUAUGGAUUAUUAUUGGGUAUAGGUUUUGCUCAUCAUUGAAGGCAAUGCAGAGAUAUCUAGUCAUAAACUUCUGCAUCACUUCCUCUCUGGUGGAGAGUUGUCUCAUUGGUAAUCAUAAUGCAUCAUUUUAUGUUUAAAUGCAAAUUAUGCAAGAUAUUUUGUGUUCUUUAGAAAAAGUUUGGUUUAGAUCAUGCAUGUAGAUUUUAAUUAAAUUAGUGAAAAU
This 424-nucleotide long non-coding RNA is filed under the name Mytilus galloprovincialis (Mediterranean mussel). The record is from RNAcentral. Lineage: Eukaryota; Metazoa; Mollusca; Bivalvia; Mytilida; Mytilidae.